GCUCCUGGUCUUCAGCUAUAUAAACGUCC
This 29-nucleotide non-coding RNA is filed under the name Homo sapiens (human). Lineage: Eukaryota; Metazoa; Chordata; Mammalia; Primates; Hominidae. The record is from RNAcentral.